Molecule: ribosomal RNA, 358 nt
Filed under: uncultured bacterium
Lineage: Bacteria
Description: bacterial SSU rRNA
Rfam family: Bacterial small subunit ribosomal RNA
Source: RNAcentral
UUCGGAUUGUAAACUCCUUUUAUCGGGGACGAUAAUGACGGUACCUGAAGAAAAAGCUCCGGCUAACUACGUGCCAGCAGCCGCGGUAAUACGUAGGGAGCGAGCGUUGUCCGGAAUUACUGGGUGUAAAGGGAGCGUAGGCGGGACGGCAAGUCAGAUGUGAAAACUGAGGGCUCAACCUUCAGACUGCAUUUGAAACUGCUGUUCUUGAGUGAAGUAGAGGUAAGCGGAAUUCCUAGUGUAGCGGUGAAAUGCGUAGAUAUUAGGAGGAACAUCGGUGGCGAAGGCGGCUUACUGGGCUUUUACUGACGCUGAGGCUCGAAAGCGUGGGGAACAAACAGGAUUAGAUACCCUGGUA